UGCAGUCGAACGAGAAGCUGGAGCUUGCUCCAGUGGAAAGUGGCAGACGGGUGAGUAACGCGUGGGAACCUACCUAGUAGUACGGAACAACAGUUGGAAUCGACUGCUAAUACCGUAUAAGCCCUUCGGGGGAAAGAUUUAUCGCUACUAGACGGGCCCGCGUUGGAUUAGUUUGUUGGUGAGGUAACGGCUCACCAAGGCUACGAUCCAUAGCUGGUCUGAGAGGAUGAUCAGCCACACUGGGACUUAGACACGGCCCAGACUCCUACGGGAGGCAGCAGUGGGGAAUAUUGCACAAUGGGCGCAAGCCUGAUGCAGCCAUGCCGCGUGAGUGAAGAAGGCCCUAGGGUUGUAAAGCUCUUUCGGCGGGGACGAUAACGACGGUACCCGCAGAAGAAGCCCCGGCUAACUCCGUGCCAGCAGCCGCGGUAAUACGGAGGGGGCUAGCGUUGUUCGGAAUUACUGGGCGUAAAGCGCGCGUAGGCGGAUCUUUAAGUCAGGUGUGAAAGCCCGGGGCUCAACCCCGGAAGUGCACUUGAAACUAAGGGACUUGAGUAUGGGAGAGGGAAGUGGAAUUCCUGGUGUAGCGGUGAAAUGCGUAGAUAUCAGGAGGAACACCGGUGGCGAAGGCGACUUCCUGGACCAAUACUGACGCUGAGGCGCGAAGGCGUGGGGAGCAAACAGGAUUAGAUACCCUGGUAGUCCACGCAGUAAACGGUGAACACUAGGUGUAGCGGGUAUUGACCCCUGCUGUGCCGCAGCAAACGCAUUA
Molecule: ribosomal RNA, 772 nt
Filed under: uncultured marine bacterium
Lineage: Bacteria
Description: bacterial SSU rRNA
Rfam family: Bacterial small subunit ribosomal RNA
Source: RNAcentral